GGGAAUGUGGCUUAGUGGUAGAGUGCUUGCCUAGCAUGCAUGAAGCCAAGGGGUUGAUUCCUCAGUACCA
This is a non-coding RNA of Dipodomys ordii (Ord's kangaroo rat), 70 nucleotides long. Lineage: Eukaryota; Metazoa; Chordata; Mammalia; Rodentia; Heteromyidae. The record is from Rfam.